CUCCAUCCGUUCGAGUUUCUUCUUUUAGCUCUGAAAGGCACACUCUGUGAAGAAUAUCAUUCCUGGAUACCAUACCUGUUCCUGUACGAAGAACACCCUUGAGAGAUCAAAAGUGAUCUACCACACGCGAUGGAGCACCAAGAGGAUUCUCAUAUAUCACUUUUCUAUGGGGGAUACUUUCGUGGAGAAGUGUUAUAUCCCAUUCAAAGGACCAUUGGAGAUGAGUUUCACAUACACGAACUUCUCGGCGACGGAGAGACUUCCAAAGUCUAUCGCGGACUUCACGCCAGUACC
This is a long non-coding RNA of Sycon ciliatum, 294 nucleotides long. RefSeq lists it as uncharacterized. The transcript is spliced from 3 exons. Lineage: Eukaryota; Metazoa; Porifera; Calcarea; Leucosolenida; Sycettidae. The record is from RefSeq and is a predicted model, not a curated record.